Molecule: ribosomal RNA, 497 nt
Filed under: uncultured bacterium
Lineage: Bacteria
Description: partial 16S ribosomal RNA
Rfam family: Bacterial small subunit ribosomal RNA
Source: RNAcentral
GAUGAACGCUGGCGGCGUGCCUAAUACAUGCAAGUCGAGCGAACGGACGAGAAGCUUGCUUCUCUGAUGUUAGCGGCGGACGGGUGAGUAACACGUGGAUAACCUACCUAUAAGACUGGGAUAACUUCGGGAAACCGGAGCUAAUACCGGAUAAUAUUUUGAACCGCAUGGUUCAAAAGUGAAAGACGGUCUUGCUGUCACUUAUAGAUGGAUCCGCGCUGCAUUAGCUAGUUGGGAAGGUAAAGGCUUACCAAGGCAACUAUGCAUAGACGACCUGAGAGGGGGGUCGGCCACACGAGAACUGAGACAGGGUCCAUGCUACUACGGGAGGCAGCAGUAGGGAAUCUUCGGCAAUGGGCGAAAGCCUGACGGAGCAACGCCGAGUGAGUGAUGAAGGUCUUCGGAUCGGAAAACUCUGUUAUUAGGGAAGAACAUAUGUGGAAGGAACUGUGCCCAUCUUGACGGUACCUAAUCAGAAAGCCACGGCUAACUACGUG